RNAcentral lists this transfer RNA (71 nucleotides) under Osteochilus pentalineatus. RNAcentral's name for it is "tRNA-Gln". It matches the Rfam family "tRNA". Rfam says of the family: Transfer RNA (tRNA) molecules are approximately 80 nucleotides in length. The record is from RNAcentral. Lineage: Eukaryota; Metazoa; Chordata; Actinopteri; Cypriniformes; Cyprinidae.
UAGAGAGUGGUGUAAGGGAAGCACCAAGAGUUUUGAUCUCUUGAGCAUGGGUUCGACUCCCUUCUCUCUAG